Non-coding RNA from Podarcis muralis (Common wall lizard), 864 nucleotides. The record is from RefSeq and is a predicted model, not a curated record. NCBI's taxonomy places the organism in Eukaryota, Metazoa, Chordata, Lepidosauria, Squamata, Lacertidae.
CCAACCGCGACGGCCACCACCCCCACUGCCUCAUGGGAGAUGUAGUUUCCUGUUAGGCCUUCCCUUGCGUCCUUCCAGCUCCAAUGCAAGGUUGCAGGGAAAGUUUUCAAAUGACUGAAGAUUCUGACAGACUUCUCUGAACUAUUGGGGUCCAAAGAAAGUAAUUGAAAACAACGGCUGUUGAGACAUUUCAUUCCGAAUCUGCUAGACAGAGCCAGACAGGCGAUGAAGACAGCCGUUCUCAGAAGUGUCUGGAUUUGUGGCCAUGGUAUAGUCCAUUGGGCCCGCGUAUGGUCGGUUACCUGUGGCCUUACCCCUAACCUUGGAUUGCCACCUGGAGUGCAAGUUUCCUGGUUUUCGAGACGAGACAUGCGUUGGGAAGAGCUUAUGCCAUUGCGGAGAGGGAGAGUUGCCGCAUUUGGCCCUCCUGACAUCCUUAUCCUUCAAAUGGCCUUGUUAGCAGAAGAAGUGUGGACUUGUCGUGGCACAUAAAAAGAGAUUUGGAUGAGAUUGCUGCCUUGUGUCCCGGAACAACGGUGUUCUGGUCCUUCUUCCUGAAGAGAAUUGUGUGGCGCGGUGCGCAGAACUGUAUGGCCAUUGAAAAAUCCAGGAAACUCUUAAAUCGUGCAAUAGCCCGUUGGGUGCGCUUUAUGUAUGGCCGAGUCAUCUCUCAUGACUGUAUCCGGAUUGGCGACCAAGCCUUGUACCAGAAUGAUGGGGUUCAUCUUUCAGACCAAGGGAAUGACAUUUGGUUAACUAGCAUCAUCAGCAGCAUCAGGGAUUGGUUACAGCUGUGAGGGUAUUGGCGGCGAGCCCCUUUUGGGCUCGGGUGGCGGUUAGGCAUUGGAAUAAUGUGUUGUGGUG